This 460-nucleotide ribosomal RNA is filed under the name uncultured bacterium. RNAcentral describes it as "bacterial SSU rRNA". It matches the Rfam family "Bacterial small subunit ribosomal RNA", at positions 29 to 507 of the family's 1533-position model. The record is from RNAcentral.
AACGAACGCUGGCGGCAUGCCUAACACAUGCAAGUCGAACGCCUGUAGCAAUACAGGAGUGGCAGACGGGUGCAUAACACGUGGGAACCUACCCUUGGGUUCGGAAUAACCGCGGGAAACUGCGGCUAAUACCGGAUACGUCCUCUGGGAGAAAGAUUUAUCGCCCUUGGAGGGGCCCGCGUCGGAUUAGCUAGUUGGUGAGGUAACGGCUCACCAAGGCGACGAUCCGUAGCUGAUCUGAGAGGAUGAUCAGCCACACUGGAACUGAGACACGGUCCAGACUCCUACGGGAGGCAGCAGUGGGGAAUAUUGGACAAUGGGGGCAACCCUGAUCCAGCCAUGCCGCGUGAGUGAAGAAGGCCCUCGGGUUGUAAAGCUCUUUUGUCCGGAAAGAAAAGCAAUCGGUUAAUACCCGGUUGUUCUGACGGUACCGGAAGAAUAAGCACCGGCUAACUUCGUG